This 1274-nucleotide long non-coding RNA is filed under the name Manihot esculenta (cassava). RNAcentral's name for it is "long non-coding RNA (MESC_LNC003623)". Lineage: Eukaryota; Viridiplantae; Streptophyta; Magnoliopsida; Malpighiales; Euphorbiaceae. The record is from RNAcentral.
UUUGCAAAUUUGGGAAGUGUGGAGAUUUGAUUUUAGAUUUGAAGAUGGCAACUGCCCAUUCCAUCAUCAUAUGUUUUGAUGUUCUUCUCAAUGCAAUCAAAUGAAUUAUACUUUCAAUUUCUCUUUGCUCAAUUUCUCUUUGCUGUAUUGAAACUUAUUGUCAAUUAUUAAUAAGAGCGAGUGGUCCUGCUCACUACAUGAAGGAAGAGUCCAUAUGUAUUUAUUAUUGAAUAAAAACAAAACCAAGGCAAUUGUAGUCCUCAUGUUAGAGUUGUAGUGAAGUGAGGAGCAUACCAGUAUCCAAAGCAAAAUAACUGGCAGUGAAAGAGCCACCUUAGUCAAUUUUGAGUGACAAAUGUCAUCUCUCUAUUUGGUAAUUUUUGGUCCCGUGGAUAGGGGAAGAUUCAAGGUCCCUGUCUUACUUAUCUAUUAACAACAUCAGCAUUUGCUAUUCCCAUCACUCAGAUCCAUUCUCUUACUCUCCCUGCAAUUGCUUUCUUUGCCUGCAAGUUGAAGGCAAAAAUGGGGUGUUGCUUAGAUGGAGAUGAUUUGUUGGUCUCUCUGUUGCUGGCUCUAGUCUUGGCAAUGCUCAUCUUUGUCAUCUGUCAACCUCCCCGUCCAAGAAGAGUCGCUCUUUAUUGUACCUCUUGAAUUUUGCAUCAGCUAAGUGUUUUGCGUUGCAUUUUUUUAUCCAUUAUUACUCGUUAGUUCGCCAAGGUGUUCUGUAUGACUAUGUAUUUUCUCCGACUAUCGUCUAGUAAAUUAUAAUAAAAAGGUAAGCUGCUAUUACGAGUGUUGUUAUUUAACUAAAUAGAAAAAUAUUAUAAUACAUAGCUGUAUAAGAUGCCAAUAUGAUGGAUAAUAAAGGGCAAGAAUUGCAUGGAUGACACCGCGACAAGACUUGAAGUACCCCAAGGUUUCGAAGCUUAUCAGUGGCCAGCAACUGUAUAUGGGUAAUUAUGCAAGUUGAAUAACUAUGUUCCAUAAAAUCUUUCAAUUAACACAGUAAGUUCAUGAAUAGAAAGCAAUAGUCAUCCUCCUCCAAUAAUUAAGAGAAAAGAAACAGGCAGUUAAGCAAAGAAAUAAAGCACUGGAUAAAGAGUUUUCAUUGAUGAAAACAAAGUUGAGACACGUUUGAACAUUUAAAAUUUUCAUUUACUUUACGAGCUACUAACAACAUAACUAGCUUUUAGCAGCUCCAUCCAUACAGAGUAGGAUGCGGCGACCUAUUAAUGGGAUCCGACAUCAAGCAGCCAUGUUUAGGAGGGUAAGGC